UAGUGGGUCUGGAGUUGAGAAUUAUAAUCAUUCAUAGCUUGGAGUUUCCGCUCGUAAUUGGAAUCAAAUAGGGCCUUAUCUUGCUCAGAAUCAAUAACCCACUGCUGCUCCUCUUGCUUCUCCUCCUCAUCCAGCAUCAAAAUAGAAGCAAAUAUAUCUCUCAUUGCACUCUUCUUCAAAUCCUCUUCCAUUGAUUGUUGGAAAUGGUCUUUAUUACCAUCUCCACCAUCGUCUUCUCCCCUCCUCUUACGCUUCUUCGAAUCGUUGUUCACACUAUAGGUUCCACCAUUACUAGUAUCCAUGUCUUGAAAUAAACUAUAGAAGUAUGAAAUCUCUUCCUGAUUAAGAAAUGGGAAAGAUGAAACUUCCAUCCAAGUGAAAGCAAGAAAAAGUGUUUGAGAAAAUGUCUGAAAGGAAGAUGCGAACUCUGAAAAAUGGUAUUCAGAUUUGUU
This 452-nucleotide unclassified non-coding RNA is filed under the name Hevea brasiliensis (rubber tree). Lineage: Eukaryota; Viridiplantae; Streptophyta; Magnoliopsida; Malpighiales; Euphorbiaceae. The record is from RNAcentral.